UUAAUAGAAGCCAAACUAGAGGCCCAUCUUUGUUAAUGAUGUUACUGGAUAUUCCCUAUUAAU
RNAcentral lists this transfer RNA (63 nucleotides) under Caprella mutica. Its description in RNAcentral is "tRNA-Asn". Lineage: Eukaryota; Metazoa; Arthropoda; Malacostraca; Amphipoda; Caprellidae. The record is from RNAcentral.